This 355-nucleotide small RNA is filed under the name uncultured fungus. RNAcentral describes it as "eukaryotic LSU rRNA". The stretch from base 14 to 167 matches the Rfam family "5.8S ribosomal RNA". Lineage: Eukaryota; Fungi. The record is from RNAcentral.
AUAUAAUAGUUAAAACUUUCAACAACGGAUCUCUUGGUUCUGGCAUCGAUGAAGAACGCAGCGAAAUGCGAUAAGUAAUGUGAAUUGCAGAAUUCAGUGAAUCAUCGAAUCUUUGAACGCACAUUGCGCCCUCUGGUAUUCCGGAGGGCAUGCCUGUUCGAGCGUCAUAAUGACCAAAUCACCCUUGUGGUGGACUUGGAGGUGGCCAGUACUGGCCUCUCUUAAAACCAGUGGCGGUGCUCUUAAGCUCUACGCGUAGUAAUUUUUCUCGCUAUAGGGUCUUGAUUGUGCUUGCCAACAACCCCAAUUUUUUAAGGUUGACCUCGGAUCAGGUAGGGAUACCCGCUGAACUUAA